RNAcentral lists this unclassified non-coding RNA (367 nucleotides) under soil metagenome. RNAcentral describes it as "partial contains 5.8S ribosomal RNA, internal transcribed spacer 2, and large subunit ribosomal RNA". The stretch from base 1 to 121 matches the Rfam family "5.8S ribosomal RNA", at positions 35 to 154 of the family's 154-position model. The record is from RNAcentral.
GAUGAAGAACGUAGUGAACGUGCGAAACGUAAUGUGAAUUGCAGAAUUCAGUGAAUCAUCGAAUCUUUGAACGCAUCUUGCGCUCCUUGGUAUUCCGAGGAGCAUGCCUGUUUGAGUGUCGUGAAAUACUCUCAAUUUCAAUCUUUUUGUUUGAAAUUGGAUUUGGGCGUUGUCGUGAAUUCACGACUUGCCCUAAAUGCAUUAGCGAUCCCUGUCUUUGAUCACACAAUGUGAUAAUAAAAAAACAUUGUUACAGUCGAGUCAAGGUUGCUUCUAACUGUCUGUCACCAGACAACCAUUACAUGUCAUUUGACCUCAAAUCAGGUAGGACUACCCGCUGAACUUAAGCAUAUCAAUAAGCGGAGGA